UAAUACGGAGGGUGCAAGCGUUAUCCGGAUUCACUGGGUUUAAAGGGUGCGUAGGAGGGCAGGUAAGUCAGUGGUGAAAUCUCCAAGCUUAACUUGGAAACAGCCGUUGAUACUAUCUGUCUUGAAUAUUGUGGAGGUGAGCGGAAUAUGUCAUGUAGCGGUGAAAUGCUUAGAUAUGACAUAGAACACCAAUUGCGAAGACAGCUCACUACUCAAUCAUUGACUCUGAGGCACGAAAGCGUGGGGAUCAAACAG
Molecule: ribosomal RNA, 255 nt
Filed under: uncultured prokaryote
Description: partial 16S ribosomal RNA
Rfam family: Bacterial small subunit ribosomal RNA
Source: RNAcentral